This 3656-nucleotide long non-coding RNA is filed under the name Taeniopygia guttata (zebra finch). RNAcentral describes it as "lncRNA (ENSTGUG00000027271.1)". Lineage: Eukaryota; Metazoa; Chordata; Aves; Passeriformes; Estrildidae. The record is from RNAcentral.
AUGCUUUUAUAUUUGAAUUGGUGUCCCCUCUCAUGGAUAAAACCCCAUAGUGAGCAAUCACAGCAGAAGUGUGAAAGCCGGGAUCCAUUGGCUUCCACAGUGGACUUAAUGUUCUUUUCCUCCUCUCUUUCAGGACAGGAGAAAUCAUUGAGCUCCUCCCAUCUUUGCCAGAAGCUUCAGUGUUUAAGCAGCCAGAGCCAAGAGGCUUCAGCACCAGGGGUGUGCGCUGGAGGGCUCCUGGUCCUGCCCAUGCUGUGGGGGAGCCAGGACUGGCACAAGGACUCGUACAGGUGCUGCUCUGGCACUGGAGCUGUUGCCCUGUGGAGCCAUUUUAAAGGUGUGAUUAUGGAACAUUUUGGAGGCCGUUUCUGGAAUUCCAUUUGUAGCUGGAUCUCACUCCGAGUGCAGCAGUCCAUAUGCUGCACUCACCUCUGCAGACAAGCGCUGAGCUCUCACUGCAGGAACCCGUCAGGCCUCGGUGGCUGAAAGGGAUGCACAUCCCUGCCUGCAGCACACCUCCAGUGGGACCCACCUGUGAGAGUUUUCCAUCACUUCUGCACCUCCAGCUGGCUCCCUGGAAAUCUCCAAACAUCAUCGCACUCGAACCUCUGAUUUUAAGGCAUCUCCGAGGCUGUGGCUUGGCAUUUAGUAUCUGUGAAGGAAGAUUGCCUUGGCUCAAAUUGCCUUUGCUCUUCUAGGGGAUGCGGUGGAAGGGGAGCCCACAUUUCUUUGUCCUAGUUGAAGUGAGGUGAGCGCCCGAGAGUGGCGUCAGUUUCGGGGCUUCAAAGGAAGGGAGGCGCGGCUGUGGCAGCACUGGCAGGGUGGGCGUGGGGCUGUGCCGCUGCAUUUGGGGUGCUUCUUCUGCCCCUGGCCUGGCAGCAAAGGGUCCGGCACGGGAGCCCCGCUGGCAGUGGCUGAGGAUGGCCGAGGUGGGAGGGGAGUUUGGCACGGCUGGGCUGCCGCGGGACUGCUGGAGCCGUGCCGGUGCGAAGCCGAGGGGAGCUUUGGCCGGGCCGGCGGGCGGGGCAGGCGGCGCGGGCGCUGCGCCGGUGCCGGCCGCUCCGUCCGCUCCGGGCGCGGGACUCGGGCGCCUCCGGGGCCCCCCGGGCCCGGUGCCGGCCCCGCUGGGCCGGGGGGAGCGGGCGGGGGUCUCCCGGCGCGGCGCCGCCUCUGCCUGCCGGAGGAUCCUCUUUCCUGCCGGGAGCGCGGCUUCUCAUUUUCCAGCGUUCCUUGCUGGCGUGGCUGUGAGGUGGUUCUGGGGAACUUAUCGGAUCCUUUUCUGUUGUCCGGAGUUGGUGUAGGAGAAGGGCCGUGGGGCACUUUUUGGUUGGUAUGGUUCUCGCUUCAGGCGCUGAUGACAAGGGGUUUUUUUUGGCUUGAGUGUUGUUGUUGGAUUUCUUUUUGAUUGUUUCUGAUGUUUUUAAAGGAUGAUUUUUUAAAGGCUUACAAUGGUUUUUCUGGUCGUAGCAUGAAGUUGAGGGUAGGUUUUUAAUUGGGUUGUGGAGGCUUUUAUUAGCGUGAGUGUGUAGUGAUUGUUUUGGUGGCUUGAGGUAGUGUCCUGUACUUAAUUAGUUAGGUUAUUUUUUUUUUUUAUAUUCAUGAUUGUAUUCUUGUUUAUUAUAUUAUAGGGGUUUUAUUCAUUUGGCUUAUUUGAUUGCCGUGUGUGUUUUAUUGUUGCAGAAAAUUUGGAAGUUAUUGUUUAUGGUUACAUUUCUCUUUUGGCGAUGUGCUUAUUUCUAAGUGGUAUUUGUGUUUUGAUGGUUUGAGGCAUUAUGGGUUUAUUGAGUUAGGAAUAAUUAUUUUGUUGUUGUUAAUAUGAUUUUUUUUUGGUAGUUUGAUGUAUUUGGUUGUUGUUUUUUAUUAGUUUUGUUUUUGGGAACGUGGGUAUUUCUAUGGUGGAUCUUUUUAGGUAGUUAUUUUAUUUCGGUGGUGAAUCUUUUCUUUCUUCGUGGUUCCGAUUUUGUUAUAUCGGUAAUUAUUUGGUGGGGUUUUUUGGUUCAUUUUAUAGAGUAUUGGGUUCUCUUUAGGAGUUAGUGUAGUGGUAGAGUUUUGGUGGUUUUUUUUUGGUUUUGUUUUUUUUAAGAAACGUUCGGGGUCUGUUGUAUGGUUUGGAGUAUAUCAAGUUAGUUGGUGGGUUUUUUUUUCUUAAAGGUUUUUUUGUGAUUUGCUGUGUGGGUUUCUAUAGGUCUUUUUAAAAAUGUUUGUUUCAUUUUUGUGAUGUGAUAAGAACUGCUAGUGAAAGAAGUGUAGUGCAGGUUUUUUUGCUGGUAGUUGGUUGGCUGUGGAACAAUUCUGAAUAUUUUGGACGGCAUUGUUGGGAAUUUGAUGCUGUUUGUUUUGGCAUUUUAGUUUGAGGAACUGGAUUAGAACUGCAAAGUUUUAACUCUAAUGAAACAAAAGGAAUGCAUAAAUAUGAAAAUGGGAAUAUAAAACUUCAAUUUUAAAUAUGAACGGAAAACAUAUAAAUAAAACAUGUAACAUGAAUAAUGUUAUCCAUUACUAUUAGGUAUUAUAUUGUUUGAUAUAGGGUGUUUUAUAUGUUUAUAUACAUAUAAAUGUAGAUUAUAAAUAUAAAUAUGCAUCUAGAAAUGUAUAAUUAAUACAUGUGGAUAUAUAAAUAUUACAAAAGAAUAGGAAUCAAUACAGUACAUAAUGCAUAUUUUACUGUAUAUGUCGUAUUAUGACACAUUAUAUGUCAUAAGAAUUAUAGCUCGAAAUAUAGUACCUCAAGAUAUUGUGAUAGAAUAUAUAAGUACUUGUAAAAAUCAAAAAUAGAAAUAAAGAAAUAUGUAAAUAUAGUUUAAAGUAAAGGGGAUUUUAAUUGUCUAUUUGGUAGUAGGUAGGGGUUUUAUUAUAAAAAUUAUAAAUAUAAAUAAAAUUAGAAAUCUAUGUAUAGAAAUAUAUCCUAAAUACGUUAAGAGCUAUAUAAAAUCUCAAAGGUAAGUAAAUAUAAGUAUUUGCGGUAUGUACAAAAUAGAAUUGAAAUGAAAAUUUAUCUAUCUUGCUACCUUAUUAUCUAUAUAAUAUAUAUUUAUAGAUACAUCAAUAUAAAGGAGAAAUGCGCAUGUGACUAUAAUGAUGAAAAAAUAUAUGAAUAUUCAAGUAGGGUUUAAAGAAAGGGAUUUUUUUGUUUUUAUUUGGUUAGAGGCAGGGUUUUAAUGGAAAAACUAUGAAUAUACAUUUUAUUUUGAUAUCAUUCUAAAAAUGGAGAUAUAUAAUCAAUGUAUGCAGGUAUAGAUAAAAAUACAAAAUAGAAAUAAAAAUAAGUAUUAGGAAGAGAUAGACUAUAAAUAACACCAUACAUCAAUGUACAUUUAAAAUGUACAUUUGAAUAUAAAUGCGAAAAAUAGAGAUAAAUUUAAAUGCAGUAUAAAAGAAAGGGGGUUUUAAAAAAAUUUUUACUUGGAUAGAGGCAGGGUCUUUAUUUGAAGCCAUAUAAACCUUUUAGAAAUCUAAAUCUAACUAUAGAAAUAUAUAAGCAAUAUAUUAAGAUAUGUGUAAAAAUAUAAAAUAUAAUAAAAUAUAAUAGGAAUAAAUGUAAGAAAUUAUAAAAAUAAAAUUACACAUCAAUCUACGUUAUAAAUCCAAAUGUGAGUAUAAAUAUGAAAAAUAUAAAAAAAAAAAAGCUUGAAAUGCAGUUUAAAAGAGAAGGUUUC